Molecule: long non-coding RNA, 1136 nt
Filed under: Macaca mulatta (Rhesus monkey)
Lineage: Eukaryota; Metazoa; Chordata; Mammalia; Primates; Cercopithecidae
Description: lncRNA (ENSMMUG00000043493.2)
Source: RNAcentral
UUUUCUCUCUCAUUUCAGAAAGCUUUCUCUGGCCUAGAUCAUAAAUAUAUGCUCAAACAAUAUCUUCUAUUAAUUUUUAAAAAGAAAUGUUUGAGUUUAGGAUUUUUUUCAUCUGAAAUUUAUUUUCAUAGUCAUGUAAAGUAGGAACUAAUUUUAUGUUAAAAUCUUCAAGUGGCUUCACAUUUUCUUACAGGAUUGAGGCCAAAUACACUGUGUCCUGAAAGCACAUACUGAUUCUGUGACUGUAAAUUUCCCUUUUCAUUACUCACAUUUUUAGUUGAUUCAUCCGACUCUUUUUACUCAUACUUCAACAUUCAGUGAAAUAUAGCCUCUUGCAUGUAAUACUCCUUGAUCCACUCAGUGUUGAAAACCCUUCAUUCCUCUCCCGACUGUACCUGGCUCAUACACUACUGUUGCAUUGUAACAGUAGUUACAAUGCGUUGUGAAGUCAUCACAUUGUGAAGUCAUCCAUUUACAUGCCAAGAUUCUACUCUUGAUUCUGAAUAUCCCUUAAAUGAUGACCACCCUACUGUGUCUUCUCAUGCCUCUAACUUAUGAAUGAGCUUAUUCCUCUAGAACGGGAAUGUUCUUUUCUACUUUUGUUCCUAACUCUGACUCGACUCUACUCGACUCUCCUAGCAUGAAGCAGGAAGAAACAUCUGCCAUAUCAAGCAUACCUAUGAUUCCACACCCUAAAAUGGCUCCUGAGUUGGUCAAUCUUCUAUAAACAGAAGUCUAGGCAAAGAGUGGGAUUCCUGAGGAAUUGCUUUCUGGUCACCUCUGAUCUGACAAAUCCAUGAUGUAAGUGCUUCAAUUUCCUCAAAGAAAAGAGUAGAGGCAAGGCAUGGUGACUCACCCCUGCAAUACCAGCAUUUUGGGAGGCUGAGGCAGGCAGAUCACUUGAGGUCAGGAGUUCAGGACCAGCCUGGCCAACAUGGUGAAACUCCGUCUCUACUAAAACUACAAAAAUUAGCAGGACGUUGGUGGCACGUGCCUGUAGUCCCAGCUACUAGGGAGGCAGAGGCAUGAGAAUUACUUGAGCCUGGGAGGUGGAGGUUGCAGUGAGCUGAGAUUGUGCCAUAUAUACCUGUCUUCAUCUACAUAAAUAUAUAUACAUACAUGCAUGCCUGCAUACA